This 250-nucleotide long non-coding RNA is filed under the name Carica papaya (papaya). Its description in RNAcentral is "long non-coding RNA (CPAP_LNC015631)". The record is from RNAcentral. Lineage: Eukaryota; Viridiplantae; Streptophyta; Magnoliopsida; Brassicales; Caricaceae.
GAUUCCAGGGCCGUCCCCAUACCCCGUUCGGUAUGGGCGCCAAAACCAUGAACCUCAAUACCCCGUCCGGUAUGAGGGUGAAACGGGUCAUCCCCAUACCUCGUCCGGUAUGGGCGCCAAAACACAUAAGGUCUCCAUACCCCGUCCGGUAUGAGAGACCACGUUCCCGGUAGGGUUCCCUACGGACCCGGUCCAUCCACCAUCUCCCAGGAUAUCUAGUCAGGCUCUCCACAUUAUCCAUUUAUCAAUU